UACGGAGGGUGCAAGCGUUACUCGGAAUCACUGGGCGUAAAGGACGCGUAGGCUGGCUGACAAGUCAGAUGUGAAAUCCUAUGGCUUAACCAUAGAACUGCAUUUGAAACUGUUAGUCUAGAGUAUGGGAGGGGGAGAUGGAAUUAGUGGUGUAGGGGUAAAAUCCGUAGAUAUCACUAGGAAUACCUAAAGCGAAGGCGAUCUCCUGGAACAUUACUGACGCUAAGGCGUGAAAGCGUGGGGAGCAAACAGG
RNAcentral lists this ribosomal RNA (253 nucleotides) under uncultured bacterium. RNAcentral describes it as "partial 16S ribosomal RNA". It matches the Rfam family "Bacterial small subunit ribosomal RNA", at positions 524 to 776 of the family's 1533-position model. The record is from RNAcentral.